CAGCCUGACUAAACACGUUGCACUAUUAAUACAUCGAAUAUACAAUUAGCCCGUUGGACAAACCUUAAAGAUAGCAGGACACAGCUCAACGGAGGAAGAUUCACGGCAGCGACCAGCACAAAAUGGCGUCUGAAAACAGCGUCACAAGCGACACAAAGGGGAAUGUCGAACCAAGGAGUUAGGAGAAAUGGCCCAGUAAAGCUGCGGUUGACAGUCCUAUGUGCAAAGAACCUGGCAAAAUAAGGCCAGGGUGCAGUAUGUAUGGAAGGAGGGCUCCGGUAGUUUGGACACGCUAACUGCUCUGCUGCUAACAACAACAUGACUACCAACCAGCACAAAAAUGGCGUCUGACAACAGGGUCUCCCCAGGGGUUAUUUAAAUCCCUGCAUGUGUAGGCGUGGCCAACCCGCCGGUUACAAUUCACUCUCACUGCGCAUGCUCGCAGACACAGACAAAGAGAGGUCAUUUGGAGGACAGACGUCGAACAAGUGCGGAGGCUUUUUUUUUCCCCACAAAGAAGAAUAAUUGGAAUAUCACUGGGAGCAAGCAGUAAGUGAACUUAUUCCAUGAAUUGUUUUUAUGACGUUUUCAGAUAAAUGUUCGAGUUGUGUGCUUAAUUCUGCGACAGACAAAUGCCCUUUAAAGAUUAAAAAUGGCGUCGACACGAGGUCGGUCGGUCGACGGACGGGACGGUGUUUAACUUGCUAAACACGUGCUAAACACAGAUGUUUUAUUUGAAACUAGUUUUUCUUGGUCAGAAAUGAUGAUGUUUGACUUUUUUGCAACUUAAUUUCAUCAGCUCAUCAGUGCCGAAACUUAAUUGACUGACUGUGCUUUGCUUGCAUUUUUAAUGAUGAAAAUCCGAAUUGAGAUGCAUUUCCUAACACUGCACAAUGAGAUACAGUUUAUAAACGUAUCGUGGUCCUAUUUUUAAGCUGAAUUUGUACAUUUAGAGCAGCAGAAACUUAAAGGGUACCAUCGCAUAUCGUGCCCUGCAGUGGAAUUUUCCACCAGCGAAACCCCCUCCCCUCCCUGGCAGACACACAGACACAGACCAUCUCCCAAACUGAGUUAUUCAAAGCAAUAAUGUUUUAAUUUAUUUUUUUGUAUGUGUUGGGUAACUUAUUUACUAUGA
Molecule: long non-coding RNA, 1135 nt
Organism: Monopterus albus (swamp eel)
Lineage: Eukaryota; Metazoa; Chordata; Actinopteri; Synbranchiformes; Synbranchidae
Exons: 2
Source: RefSeq, a predicted model, not a curated record